GAGAAGGCUAUGUUGGCCGGGCGACGGUUGUCCCGGUUUAAGCGUGUAGGCUGGUUUUCCAGGCAAAUCCGGAAAACCAAGGCUGAGGCGUGAUGACGAGGCACUACGGUGCUGAAGUGACAAAUGCCCUGCUUCCAGGAAAAGCCUCUAAGCAUCAGGUAACAUCAAAUCGUACCCCAAACCGACACAGGUGGUCAGGUAGAGAAUACCAAGGCGCUUGAGAGAACUCGGGUGAAGGAACUAGGCAAAAUGGUGCCGUAACUUCGGGAGAAGGCACGCUGAUAUGUAGGUGAAGCGACUUGCUCGUGGAGCUGAAAUCAGUCGAAGAUACCAGCUGGCUGCAACUGUUUAUUAAAAACACAGCACUGUGCAAACACGAAAGUGGACGUAUACGGUGUGACGCCUGCCCGGUGCCGGAAGGUUAAUUGAUGGGGUUAGCGGUAACGCGAAGCUCUUGAUCGAAGCCCCGGUAAACGGCGGCCGUAACUAUAACGGUCCUAAGGUAGCGAAAUUCCUUGUCGGGUAAGUUCCGACCUGCACGAAUGGCGUAAUGAUGGCCAGGCUGUCUCCACCCGAGACUCAGUGAAAUUGAACUCGCUGUGAAGAUGCAGUGUACCCGCGGCAAGACGGAAAGACCCCGUGAACCUUUACUAUAGCUUGACACUGAACAUUGAGCCUUGAUGUGUAGGAUAGGUGGGAGGCUUUGAAGUGUGGACGCCAGUCUGCAUGGAGCCGACCUUGAAAUACCACCCUUUAAUGUUUGAUGUUCUAACGUUGGCCCCUAAUCGGGGUUGCGGACAGUGUCUGGUGGGUAGUUUGACUGGGGCGGUCUCCUCCUAAAGAGUAACGGAGGAGCACGAAGGUUGGCUAAUCCUGGUCGGACAUCAGGAGGUUAGUGCAAUGGCAUAAGCCAGCUUGACUGCGAGCGUGACGGCGCGAGCAGGUGCGAAAGCAGGUCAUAGUGAUCCGGUGGUUCUGAAUGGAAGGGCCAUCGCUCAACGGAUAAAAGGUACUCCGGGGAUAACAGGCUGAUACCGCCCAAGAGUUCAUAUCGACGGCGGUGUUUGGCACCUCGAUGUCGGCUCAUCACAUCCUGGGGCUGAAGUAGGUCCCAAGGGUAUGGCUGUUCGCCAUUUAAAGUGGUACGCGAGCUGGGUUUAGAACGUCGUGAGACAGUUCGGUCCCUAUCUGCCGUGGGCGCUGGAGAACUGAGGGGGGCUGCUCCUAGUACGAGAGGACCGGAGUGGACGCAUCACUGGUGUUCGGGUUGUCAUGCCAAUGGCACUGCCCGGUAGCUAAAUGCGGAAGAGAUAAGUGCUGAAAGCAUCUAAGCACGAAACUUGCCCCGAGAUGAGUUCUCCCUGAGACUUAGAGUCUCCUGAAGGAACGUUGAAGACGACGACGUUGAUAGGCCGGGUGUGUAAGCGCAGCGAUGCGUUGAGCUAACCGGUACUAAUGAACCGUGAGGCUUAACCUU
This 1477-nucleotide ribosomal RNA is filed under the name Escherichia coli. RNAcentral describes it as "partial 23S ribosomal RNA". It matches the Rfam family "Bacterial large subunit ribosomal RNA", at positions 1475 to 2925 of the family's 2925-position model. The record is from RNAcentral. Lineage: Bacteria; Pseudomonadati; Pseudomonadota; Gammaproteobacteria; Enterobacterales; Enterobacteriaceae.